UACAGAGGUGGCAAGCGUUGUUCGGAAUUACUGGGCGUAAAGCGUGCGUAGGUGGUUUGUUAAGUCUGAUGUGAAAGCCCUGGGCUCAACCUGGGAACUGCAUUGGAAACUGGCUUACUAGAGUGCGGUAGAGGGGUGUGGAAUUCCCGGUGUAGCAGUGAAAUGCGUAGAUAUCGGGAGGAACAUCUGUGGCGAAGGCGACACCCUGGACCAGCACUGACACUGAGGCACGAAAGCGUGGGGAGCAAACAGG
Molecule: ribosomal RNA, 253 nt
Filed under: uncultured bacterium
Lineage: Bacteria
Description: partial 16S ribosomal RNA
Rfam family: Bacterial small subunit ribosomal RNA
Source: RNAcentral